RNAcentral lists this ribosomal RNA (508 nucleotides) under uncultured Spartobacteria bacterium. Its description in RNAcentral is "bacterial SSU rRNA". It matches the Rfam family "Bacterial small subunit ribosomal RNA", at positions 9 to 498 of the family's 1533-position model. The record is from RNAcentral. Lineage: Bacteria; Pseudomonadati; Verrucomicrobiota; Spartobacteria.
GAGUUUGAUCGUGGCUCAGAACGAACGGUGGCGGCGUGGAUAAGACAUGCAAGUCGAACGGGACUUUCAUUGUAGCAAUAUGAUGGAAGUUCAGUGGCGCAAGGGUGCGUAACACGUGGGAAAUCUGCCGAGAAGUGGGGGAUAGCUCGCCGAAAGGCGAAUUAAUACCGCAUUGUGGUCAGCGAAGACAUCUUCGCGAAACCAAAGCCGGGGCAACCUGGCGCUUCUUGAUGAUCCCGCGGCCUAUCAGCUAGUUGGCGGGGUAAAAGCCCACCAAGGCGAUGACGGGUAGCUGGUCUGAGAGGACGACCAGCCACACUGGAACUGAGACACGGUCCAGACACCUACGGGUGGCAGCAGUCGAGAAUUUUUCUCAAUGGGCGCAAGCCUGAAGGAGCGACGCCGCGUGGAGGAUGAAGGUCUUCGGAUUGUAAACUCCUGUCAUUAGGGACAAAUCUUCCAAGUAACUACUGGAAGUCUGAUAGUACCUGAAGAGGAAGAGACGGCU